CUUUAGCCCCUGCCUCCCGCCUCCCGGUUCCUACUCGGCCAGAACCUCCCGCUACGCGCGCCGGUGCGGGCCCCCGUCCGUGUUUCAGAAUGCAGAAGUGGCUCUUGGGAGUGGUGGCCUGUGUGCUGCUGGGCAUGGUGCCUUCCGAGGGACAUUCCAGGAAGAAGAGGUCUGUGGAUCCCGAGGCGUACAUGAAUAUUAGCGAGAUCAUCUCCCAUUGGGGCUUCCCCAGUGAGGAGUACGACGUGGUGACCGACGAUGGCUACAUCCUCAGUGUCAACCGAAU
Long non-coding RNA from Gracilinanus agilis (Agile Gracile Mouse Opossum), 286 nucleotides. RefSeq lists it as uncharacterized. Lineage: Eukaryota; Metazoa; Chordata; Mammalia; Didelphimorphia; Didelphidae. The record is from RefSeq and is a predicted model, not a curated record. The transcript is spliced from 3 exons.